This 406-nucleotide ribosomal RNA is filed under the name uncultured bacterium. RNAcentral's name for it is "partial 16S ribosomal RNA". It matches the Rfam family "Bacterial small subunit ribosomal RNA", at positions 30 to 526 of the family's 1533-position model. The record is from RNAcentral.
AUUGAACGCUGGCGGCAGGCCUAACACAUGCAAGUCGAACGAGUGGUGGACGGGUGAGUAAUGUCUGGGGAUCUGCCCGAUAGAGGGGGAUAACUACUGGAAACGGUGGCUAAUACCGCAUACUAUCGGAUGAACCCAUAUGGGAUUAGCUAGUAGGUGGGGUAAAGGCUCACCUAGGCGACGAUCUCUAGCUGGUCUGAGAGGAUGAUAAGCCACACUGGGACGGAGACACGGCCCAGACUCCUACGGGAGGCAGCAGUGGGGAAUAUUGCACAAUGGGCGCAAGCCUGAUGCAGCCAUGCCGCGUGUAUGAAGAAGGCCUUAGGGUUGUAAAGUACUUUCAGCGAGGAGGCGUUACUCGCAGAAGAAGCACCGGCUAACUCCGUGCCAGCAGCCGCGGUAAUAC